RNAcentral lists this transfer RNA (72 nucleotides) under Urocitellus parryii (Arctic ground squirrel). RNAcentral describes it as "Spermophilus parryii (Arctic ground squirrel) tRNA". It matches the Rfam family "tRNA". From Rfam's summary of the family: Transfer RNA (tRNA) molecules are approximately 80 nucleotides in length. Their secondary structure includes four short double-helical elements and three loops (D, anti-codon, and T loops). The record is from Rfam by way of RNAcentral. RNAcentral also lists the same sequence under 1 other name. Lineage: Eukaryota; Metazoa; Chordata; Mammalia; Rodentia; Sciuridae.
GCAGGUAUUACUCAGUGGUAGAGCACUUGCCUAGCAAGUUUGAGGCUCUGGGUUCAAUUCCCAAUACCAGAA